GAGCCAGAUGGCUGCUCAGCUCCUUUUUCUUGCUUGGUAUUCUCCUCUGCGGCCUUUUUCGCAGCUGCUUCUUGUCUGGCCCUCUCCUCUUCCAUUGAAACUCUAAGAGCGAGGGCAAGUUCAGGAUCUAAGUUGGGAUCAACCCCAAAAUCAAAACCAGAUACGCCACCUGCUGCUGCAGCCGCAGCAGCUGCUGCAAAACCACUUCCACCUUCCCCGUCUCCCGUAAAGAUAGGAGUACUGAUGAGUACAUCAGAG
Molecule: unclassified non-coding RNA, 258 nt
Filed under: Hevea brasiliensis (rubber tree)
Lineage: Eukaryota; Viridiplantae; Streptophyta; Magnoliopsida; Malpighiales; Euphorbiaceae
Source: RNAcentral